This is a long non-coding RNA of Haliotis rubra (blacklip abalone), 1171 nucleotides long. RefSeq lists it as uncharacterized. Lineage: Eukaryota; Metazoa; Mollusca; Gastropoda; Lepetellida; Haliotidae. The transcript has 3 exons. The record is from RefSeq and is a predicted model, not a curated record.
UAGCAUAACUGAAAUUGUAGCUCGGGAGAUAAAAAGGAGUGGUUCCACUCCCCGUCACAAGAGAUCACUUCAAAAAGGUUUCCCCGUAACCCGAAGUAAACAGAAGUUUGAGUUUCAGCAGUGACAUUUUAUGGUCUUGUGUAGCCAAAUCGGCAAAAAUGGUGCAUUUAGCUGCGACAAUCCACGUCCAUGACGCUGGCUAGAAUUCUUUCGUUGUAGUUCGAGCCCCGUAUUUGCUCUGACUAUGGUCAUAGUUUGUUAGAACCAUACCCAGGCUUUAUUUCCAUAUGACAAUAGUCCAUUAGUUUCAUACACUGGAGAGUAAAUACUGUCAGGUUGUGAGCCCAAACUUGACAAAUAUUUCCCUUUACAAAUCUCUAAAUGUGUGUAUGCUGAAUACUGUUGCGCUAAAAGAGUCAAUAUUUCCUGUUCAUAAUUACACAUAGGCUAAUGUGCUUCACUCACAGCCAUCUUUGCACAAUACGGAAUUAACUCCUUUGCAUAAUGUUUAAGAGAUUUCCGCUGUAGUUUUAUGUGUCAGAGUUUGUGUUCAAUACCACAUUGCUAUACCCGUCGAUGAUUCUACAGUUGGUGUGCAGACGACGGUAUGGGGCACUGGAAGUGGUGUGCUUGGAUUGGGUACAUACAUAUGCUGAUUCUAGCUGGAGGUACGCCAGAUUUCCAACAACCGUACAUCGCUGCACCAGACACAGCUCACGUGGACAGGAGUGUGACGUUGUCCUGCUAUAGUGUCUACCGGUAUCGUGGUGAUGAUGUAGACGCGUCCAUUAACUGGAGGAAGAACGGUUUGCCGCUAGAAGAAAGCUCUGAAUACAACAUAAGACAGAGUCAUGAUCGGUGGACGGUACCAUAUACCAUAUAUGACAUCUACAGAAGUACCCUCACUGUCAGUGACGUGAACACAGCGAAGGGAGAUAACUUCCAGUGUCAGGUUGUAAUAGGACAGAGAGCGGCGUCAGGAUGGAGUGAAGUGUAUGUACUGGUUAAACAAUGUAAGUGAAUGAUAUUGAAAUUCGGACGUAAGAAGUAUUAAAAAAUGUAUUUGGCGUAUCAGUUAUAACAUGGAUAUGGCAAUUAAAUAUUUAUGAUAAAACCGCCCAUUCACAAGGAAGUGACCUGAAUUGUUCUCUCCUGUACUGUCACCACAAAG